AUUUUGUUAUUCUUUGAAGUCUCAGAGCGCUUUGGCCCAAUUUAUAUUUAUAUGUUGUCAGUUAAGAUGCUUCAUAUGAUCAAGGUUGUGUUUAUUUAUCUCCGGCGUCAGCCUUUUCCUUCUGUUAGUGGAGAUUUAGGGGGUGACUUGUGUGCUCUGUUUCAGCAUUAAUAACCAGAAGUCCGUAUCUGUUUCCAGAGGUACGCAAGUUGAAUUCCUCCAACGAGCAGCCUCAAGUAGCAGCCAAGCAGCCUCUGGAGUGAGUGUGCACCUGAGUGCUGAGAUCCGGUGGGAGGGGUGUGAUCUUGUUUCUCAGUUACAAAUGCACCUGUCUAUACCACCCCACCCCCACUUUGUAAUGUUGGGCACUGGACGCUGGAGAAGAGCUCUUUUGUCUGCUGGUUUUGUUAUGUCUGCCUGUAGGUGGCGCUAGAGAGCAACCAGAAGGUGGGAGGAAGGAGAAGGUGCAGGCGGUCCCACGUGUGUUCCUUGUACCUGUCCUGAUGCUUCUUGCCUCCGCCAGUGCACGUGGUUCCAGUCUCCAGCUGUUAUUUGCACUUUCCAAGAACCAGCUUCAUCGUCCCUCUUUGGCUGUGGAAGCGCCAGCUGGGCAGCAUCCCUCCUCACAGGUGCACGACAUAAUAAUCCGGUAUUUGUAUGUCCUGCAGUCAGCUGAUCCACUUACGAAGCAAGAGUCGAGAGUCGAGCCCCGAACUGAUUCCCUCAAAACCAGCCAUCCUUAUGUUCCCUUGGGAAAACUUAAUGGCCCUCGGGAGACCUGUGUUUUCCAGUUGGAAGGGCUCGCCUCUAGGGCACGCCCCCCAAAUCCUUGAUAUCCUUAUCUGUUACAUGUUUUCCUCAAGGUUAAUAUAGAAUUACCGUUCAUACCAAGUUCUGUGUGGCUUUUUGGCAUCCUUUCCUUGGGGGUGAUGGAAAAUGCUUCCGGAAUUCACCUUCACUUGUCUUGUUGGAAGGAAAAAUGGUCAUAUUCCCGGCACCAGAGGAAUUUCUGCUUCCACGGAAUGUACCCUGAAAACGCCCCCGUGACGACUUCUCCACGUGGCCCCUGGAUGAAUGACCGCAGUCACGGACACAAAAUCCCCAACACUUCCCUUCCAGCAGUGCGACCCUCGGUUCCAUUAGUGCUGAUGUUCCUCCCUAGGGAAUCCUAACGCAGUCUAGUGCCCGAGCCAGACCUUGACCGCACCUGCCCAAGCUCCUCUUUCCUUUUCCACGUUUCUCACUUGGCAGGUUCCAUUUGCUGCUUGACUGUUGAGGCGACAUAAAAUCCCGGCCACCCUGAGCGCCCCUCAGUGGCUCCCGACAAUAUCGGAGCCAAGCUGAUUUCAGGGCUCGCCGGUCUCAGUGAUUGCCCAAACCUGUAUAUUUUAUUUUCGAACCUCAGCACCUUUUGCUUUUUUCCCUUUAAGUGAACAGCGGAAAAGAUGAUAACAGAGAGUCUUUA
This 1465-nucleotide long non-coding RNA is filed under the name Mustela putorius furo (domestic ferret). RNAcentral describes it as "lncRNA (ENSMPUG00000032069.1)". Lineage: Eukaryota; Metazoa; Chordata; Mammalia; Carnivora; Mustelidae. The record is from RNAcentral.